AAGCAACACUCUGUGGCAGAUGAUUGAAAAUGUCUGACACAAUUUGAGCUUGCUAUAGCAAGAAAGUCUAACCUAUUCCGGUGUUCUCUUCUCCGUGAGACGAGCCGUUAUAUAGACUCAAACAGU
This is a small nucleolar RNA of Equus caballus (horse), 126 nucleotides long. Ensembl annotates it as small nucleolar RNA, H/ACA box 28. Its record names the gene SNORA28. The record is from Ensembl. Lineage: Eukaryota; Metazoa; Chordata; Mammalia; Perissodactyla; Equidae.